CUGCUUCCCCUCCCCACUUAGUUCUAGUCCCGGUCAGGGCGCUGGAUUCUGUCCCGCGGCUGCGGCGGUUGUUGGAGAGUGAACCACCCGCAAAGGAAGACCUUUCUCUCUGUCUCUCUCUCUCACUGUCCACUCUGCCUGUCAUAAAAAAAAAAAAAAGAAAAAAAACAAAAAAAAAGGGCAGCGACUGAGGGGGUACAAGGAGAAUUUCAACCUUGACUUUUCAUUUUAGGAAGCAAUCAAUGGAGCUCAUCUCUUUGACAGCAACAAAACCAGCGAGAGAGCUGACGUGGCACCUUUGCAAGGCUGGAAAAUGAGGGCUGUGGUGCCAGCAAGACACGGGACCCCACUGGGGCUGUGCCACUCGUUAGCUGUCGGACCCCACGCAGGUGACAGAGCGUCUCAAUGUCUCUGCUCUUCCUGUUUCCAGGAGCCUGCAAGAGGACUGUGCGAGUGCGGGACUGAGAGCAGUGCCUGGCUGGAGACGGAAUCCACAGAACGCCGCGACCAGCUGGAUGGUGUGAGAGGGUUCGGCCUGAAGUCCUUGUCUGCGAUGGUCCCACUGUCCAUUCAUUCACCCGAACCAGAAGACUGGGACACACCCUCAGCUUCCCGCUCUGCCCCAAUGUCACACCCGAAUCCAUCAACCUGUCUUCCUCUCCUAACAUCCUGGUCUCGUCCUCAUCUUCACCGUGCCCUCCUUACGCAGUGAGUCACCAUCCCCUUCACCAGUCCAGCUGCCGGAUGGGGGCCAGAGGAGGCCUGGUGUACUGCAGACUGAGGAGGAGGAAGAACAAAAUGCUAAGGUAGAAGCUUGCUCUGAGGUUGGAAUGGCUUCCAAAUCAUUCCAGGUGUGUUUCAAGGCUUAAAGAGAAAUUGCUGGCAGAGUUUCAGCCCCCAAGUACAGCAAAGAACAUCUUCUUGAGGUACGUUACAACAAAGUUCAAUUCCUUUGCCUCGGAGGCAACAAUCUAAGAAGUUGGAAGAAGAGGAGGAGGAAGAGGAGAGGAAGAGGGGGAGGGGGAGGAGCAGGAGGGAAACAAAAGUCCAUUCCUUUCACUAGAAGAUAGGGAGGGCGACCAAGAGACCACCUAGGAGACAACUGCAGGAACUGUGAGGCCCUGAAUCAAGGCAGUGGCCCCUAGCUCUGGUCAAGGGAAUUGGUUUGUUGGAUGAGAAAAACUAAAGGGCGUCUUAGGAAACAGAUGAUGACACAUCUGUAGUCUGUUGAGCUCUGGCUGGUGGCAUCAACUCUUCCCAGUUUCCCAUCAGCACCUAGACGUCUGGUCUUAUCUCCGGCAGCCCAUCUCCCACUUUGUACUCAGAGUGAUGGCCUUAAAGGCAAAACUGCUGAGGUCUAGCCUGGGCCUUCUCAGUGCUCCUAGUAUAGUGAGACGUCCUCUGUGUGACCUGUGGCCCCGUGCAUACACUGCUCUGCACUUCCUUCGUCUGUUUGCCGUCUGUCUCUUCUGACAGACAUUGAGCUCAAAGAGGGCAGCGAAUACAUCUCUCUCAUUCUUGACUUAAUUCGUAAUGCUUGGCACACAGUUAGCUCCAAGGAGAGAGUAGAAGGAUGAAUAACAUUCGGGCUGGCCCUGUGGCUCAGCGGGUUAAAGCCCCGGCCUGCAAUACUGGCAUCCCAUAUGGCCACCAGUUCAAGUCCUGGCUGUUCCACUUCUGAUCUAGCUCCCUGCUAACAUGCCUGGGAAAGCAGCAGAGGAUGGCCCAAGUGCUUGGGCCCCUGUACCCAAAUAAGAGACCUGGAUGGAAGAAGUUCCUGGCUUCAGAUCGGCUCAGCUCCUGCCAUUGUGGCCAUUUGGGGAGUAAACCAGCAGAUGGAAGUCCCCCAUCCCCACGCUGCCCCCCAUCUGUAAGUCUCUACCUUUCAAAUAAGUAAAAAUAAAUCUUUUUAAGAAGGGAUCA
RNAcentral lists this long non-coding RNA (1923 nucleotides) under Oryctolagus cuniculus (rabbit). RNAcentral's name for it is "lncRNA (ENSOCUG00000037673.1)". Lineage: Eukaryota; Metazoa; Chordata; Mammalia; Lagomorpha; Leporidae. The record is from RNAcentral.